UGGGGAAUUUUGGACAAUGGGCGAAAGCCUGAUCCAGCAAUGCCGCGUGUGUGAAGAAGGCCUUCGGGUUGUAAAGCACUUUUGUCCGGAAAGAAAUCCUUGGCUCUAAUACAGCCGGGGGAUGACGGUACCGGAAGAAUAAGCACCGGCUAACUACGUGCCAGCAGCCGCGGUAAUACGUAGGGUGCAAGCGUUAAUCGGAAUUACUGGGCGUAAAGCGUGCGCAGGCGGUUCGCUAAGACCGAUGUGAAAUCCCCGGGCUCAACCUGGGAACUGCAUUGGUGACUGGCAGGCUAGAGUAUGGCAGAGGGGGGUAGAAUUCCACGUGUAGCAGUGAAAUGCGUAGAGAUGUGGAGGAAUACCGAUGGCGAAGGCAGCCCCCUGGGCCAAUACUGACGCUCAUGCACGAAAGCGUGGGGAGCAAACAGGAUUAGAUACCCUGGUAGUCCACGCCCUAAAACGAUGUCAACUAGUUGUUGGGGAUUCAUUUCCUUAGUAACGUAGCUAACGCGUGAAGUUGACCGCCUGGGGAGUACGGUCGCAAGAUUAAAACUUAAAGGAAUUGACGGGGUCAUAGCUGUUUCCU
This 586-nucleotide ribosomal RNA is filed under the name uncultured bacterium. Its description in RNAcentral is "partial 16S ribosomal RNA". It matches the Rfam family "Bacterial small subunit ribosomal RNA", at positions 355 to 1375 of the family's 1533-position model. The record is from RNAcentral.